Molecule: long non-coding RNA, 2724 nt
Organism: Nerophis ophidion (straightnose pipefish)
Lineage: Eukaryota; Metazoa; Chordata; Actinopteri; Syngnathiformes; Syngnathidae
Exons: 2
Source: RefSeq, a predicted model, not a curated record
UGGCCAACAUUUGUUCCGUGGUUGAGAACACCUCGAUGACGUCACACAGGAGGAAAAACAAAACAAGAUGGCGUCUGGCGGAGAUUACGUUGUUUUGGUUAUAAUGGUUUCUAGGUCUUAAUUACAACGUACAUGUGCACAUGUGUGUCGUUUAACAGAGUAAACGUACUUAUUAAUUGUUUGUAUGCGGAUACAUUAGUCUGAGUGCACUUUGACGUGCUAGCCUAGCUCGCUAGUUAGCUUAGCUUGUUAGCUGCUAACAAAGAGAGGCGGAAGUGAUCGACACAUCAAAGCAGGGAUCCAAUACGUCUGUGAAGAACAUCUUCACCCUUAGCAACAGAAGUGGAGCUUCAGGAUGCAGACGGAGGAAACACAGCCCUCCCACAUUAAGAUGGAAGAGGAAUACACACUGAUCCCCCAUUUUAAAAAGGAAGAGGAGGACCCACUGACACCCCUUUUUAAAGAGAAAUCAGUGGACCCACUGAAUCCUCACAUUAAAGAGGAAGAGGAGGAACACAGCAUCAGUCAAGAAUGGUUGGAGGAGUUCCAUGUGAUUGUGAAGAGUGAAGGUGAUGAGGUGAAAGGUGAAAGUGAGGAGAGGGGAGGGGGGGAGCCUCCAAGCAGCAGCUCAACACAACACAUGACAACAGAAGCUGAUGGAGACCACUGUGGAGGAUCACAAGCAGACAAGCUCUUAGCUCCACGAUCAGAUAGUGAGGACACAACGUCACACUCUCCUGACACUGAUGAUGAAGACUCUAAAGAUGAUGCAACAUGUCACACUGACAACAUUCACUUCACAUGUUCUCACUGUCACAAAACCUUUAAAUACCAUUGUCGUCUGAAAACACACAUGAGAACACACACUGGAGAAAAAACUUUUUCUUGUUCAAUUUGUGGUAAAAGUUUUACACAAAGUCAAGAUGUGAAAGUACACAUGAGAACACAUACCGGAGAAAAACCUUAUGUCUGUUCAAUCUGUAGUAAAAGUUUUGUACAAAGAAUCACUUUGAAAGUACACAUGAGAACACACACUGGUGAAAAACCGUUUUCCUGUUCAACCUGUGGUAAAUGUUUUACACGAAGUCAACAUUUGAAAAGACACAAGAGAACACACACUGGUGAAAAACCUUUUUCCUGUUCAAUCUGUGGUAAAGGUUUUACACGAAGUCAAGAUUUGAAAAGACACACUAGAACACACACUGGUGAAAAAUGACAUUCCUGUUCAAUCUGCAACAGAAGCUUUUGUGACCGAUCAAGGCUUCUAGGCAGUCUUCAUUGGGCCCUAAGCAAAAUUUGAUUUUGGGGCCCUCUAUUUCUGCCAAUAAUAUUGAUUGUUGAUCAUUCACACACCUCCUAUAAACUCAUUGCGGCUCUGGCAGUGUUUACAUGAUCCUAUUGUCAGCCUGGCAUGUCUUUACAAAUGACAUGUCAUUUAUAACUGGUGGCCCAGUUAAGAACAUAAAUAAUACCAAUGAAUGAAGGAAUGAUGUCCAGAGUGCCAUAUAUACUUCCUAAUUUUAAAAUGUAGAAAACAUUCAGCUACAAGAGUGGCCUGGGGUUGAACAGUCCAAGUGAUAAAGCUUUGUAUUUACAGUACAAAUGUCAUCUUGUCUCAUCAGUCUUGUACAUAUUAGUCUUUAAUUACUAAUUUAUAGUUUUAGUUAAUUGUUCAUAUUUCAUGUUUACUUUGUAUAAAGAGAGCGCAGUCUACUGAAGUUAAAUUCCAUGUGUGUUAAACAUAAUAGGACAAUAAAGGUGAUUCUGAUUCACUUUAUUAUUUUUGAUAACAAACACCUGAAACAGCAAUGUGCAAAAAUAAUUCGUAAUGCAAGAAAAACAAAGUGCAACAAUAAAAUCACUUAAAUAUAUAUAAAACGAAACACAUUCAAUUGUACAAAAACCAACAUAAUUAAGUUAAAUAUCAAGCAAAUACUUAAACAAUAAUAAUGAACAGAGUUACCAGAAACAAGGUAACAUGAUGCACCUGAAGGAUACACUAGACCUAAUACUGUACUGGGGCACAACAAAUUCAUGUGAGCUUAAGCAAAAACAUUUUUAGCACUUAUUUAUCAUAAAAAAUACAUAAAUAGUGCUUUAAACUAUGAAAUCAUAUCAGUAUGGAUCUUUGAUGAACCACCUGAAAUGAACUCAUGCAUUUGGCCUACUUGUGCACUUUUUUACUCCAGACUUCUAAACUGCUACUGGUAAAAGCAAAAAGGAAGAGCAAUGAAUCUUUUUGAAAUAUUUAUAUUACAGUAACUGUUAUACAGUUGACCAGUGGUUCCCAACUGCUGGGUCGUGACAUAAAAGUGGAUUGUGUGUCAUUUUCAGUGAGUCGCAGUCACAUGUGUGCAUGAAAAAAAAAGUUUAGGGAGAAAAAUAUCAAAUUGUGGCAACAAAACCAGAUAUUUUUAGCCAUAUUUCUAGUGACUAUUAGUGAGUAUUUUAGCAAAAGGCAAACCGACUAACACGUUGGAGGAGGACUCGGGACAGACAUGGAAAUAUAUUUUUUUUAAAUGGGGCAACAAAACCCGAUAUUUUCAGCCAUCUUUCUGGUAACAAAUAGAGAAAUGUUUUUUUUUCUGGAAACAAAAGCAGAUGCUUUAGCUGUAGCCAUUUUUCUGGUGACAAAACAAGAUUAUUUUAGUCAAAGUCACAGCGAUUAACAAGACAAGUCUACUGUGCUAUUUUUCUGUGAAAUAAACUUGAAUGAUUUAAAAA